GGAGGAUAAGGGGGAGGGGAGGGAAAGGAGACUGAGUUCUCUCUGCUCAGUUCUCCUGGCCACUCUCUUGGUCUAUAAACCUGCUUGAGAUCUCAUUGCUUCCGUCUCUGCCUCUUCCCUUGCUGUUUCUAACCUUCACUGCAUUUUUGACAGUGUUACAAAUAGCUCUAACACUGUAAGUGAAAAGAUGGAAAAGAAAAAAUAAUUACCUGGAUGAUGGAAAUGAGGAUUCAAUUACUUUUCAGCUUCUAUAGUUUGGGGCUUCGUCGUGUUGAGUGUUGCAUCUGAGGCUCCAUGUCUAUGUCUCUGGUCUCCUGCUUCCACAAAUGUCCAUGGAUCGAGGUCAGUAACCUCUUAGGCAGGGAAGGUCACCUCAUGAUUGUGACAUACGUGAGCACAUCUCUGAAGAGCCAAUGAGGUUCUGGCAAAAACCCCCACAGGCUGACUUGUCUGAGUUUCCUGACAUGCCCACUACCAGCCGCCUGGAAGCCGCUGAGGUUUGAUUGCAGGCUGCUCCCUCCCACAGCUGGCUGGAGUUUACUUCAUUUAGGAGUCAGCCCUUGAUCUCCACGAUGACAGCCAGUCCUGCCUGGCUGGGGGAUUGUGACAGCCUUUGUUUCCAUGUGGGCCAAGUCUUUUGACAAGAGGGGAAAGCUCAUUAGUUAGCUGUCAUCCUCAAACGUGGUUAGGUUAUGAGUAAUUCUACUAGGAGAGCCAGGGAGCUGGCAGCUCGUUCCAUAGAGAUUGUUUUAUCUAUUUGUACAGAGUAGUGGGAGAUUAACUGGGAUAUUUUAUGUAAAAGUCUCUGUCAACUGUGGAUGUGCUUACAGAUCCAGCAAGGGGGACGAAGAUGAUUCCGCUUUACCUACCUCUGGGAGGGCCCGGCUGUUGCCUCAAAGCCAAAAGCGCCAACAGGACUUUUUGGUCUCCGCGGUCAACUCCAGUCUGCUGCUCCAUCACUCGGCUUCCAGCAGGUGGCGCUGCGUCCCGCGUAGGCCUGGCCCGCCAGUCUUAGCUCCCCGGCAGGCUCAAAAGAUACCAAGAAGUCGGGAAGUGGUCCCCGCUCACGUAGAGCCGCUGCCUUGGCGAACGCAAUUGAUGACACAGCGGCCUGACGCGGACCUUUGUCAGAGAGAUGGGAUCUGGCGUUUCCGCAGAACGGAAAACAAAGUGCUUCUGCCUGCCGGGCCAGAGUUGACAUUUGCUCACCAUUGAUUCCGGGACGUUUACAGGCAGCGUGAGUUCAUGUGAAAUUGCAGGACUUUGCCAUGAGUCAGAUUCACUUUCUGUAAAUCAGAGUCAACAUUACACUUCCCCGCCCCUUGGGCCAUUACUUGAAUUUUUAGUUCACCCGUUGUAUUUGUACUGAGGAGAUUCAAGUAUUUCAUAAGCACUUUUUUUUUUUUUAAAGGGCAACACCAACUUGGGACAGAUUGGUUGUUUGAGAUUUUUGUCAUUCUUAGCUCCCCAUAUAGGUUGGCCUUAUGUAGUAUUUACAUGUUCAGAAGUAUGUCAUGUAGAAAUUCAAGCGAAACUUGAAAAACAUUUUCUGGCAGGAAGCCCAGGUGGGGUUGUUCAUGGAGACAAUGAUGACUGGACCAGGCGUGGGAGGGAGCAAGACGCAUAGAUGAGGCAAUCGGCCUGGAGCUUUUUUAACACGUAGACAAGAAUGUAGACAGCGGAUUAGGGCAGAAUUUUGAUGGUGGGAGAAAGAGACAAGAUGGGGUUAAAAGCAGAGAGAGGAGUUCCCAUCUGUGGCGCAGUGGUUAACGAAUCCGAAGCCACAGCCACACAGGAUCUGAGCCCCUUCUGCAAUCUACAGCACAGCUCACAGUAAUGCUGGAUCCUUAACCCACUGAGUGAGGCCAGGGAUUGAACUGGCAUCCUCAUAGAUAUUAGUCGGGAUCAUAACCUGCUAAGCCACAAUGGGAACUCCCAUGUUCUUAAGUUUACAAGUUCAGCAGUAUAUUUCUGCAUCGUUUCAAAACUUUCCUUUCCUAUGUAAGUUAAUAUUUAAGCUUAUGGAAAAAUCAUCUAAUGCCUAUAUUUACUUUGAAUUUAUUUUGGUAAAAAAAUUUAGUUUAGG
Molecule: long non-coding RNA, 2086 nt
Filed under: Sus scrofa (pig)
Lineage: Eukaryota; Metazoa; Chordata; Mammalia; Artiodactyla; Suidae
Description: lncRNA (ENSSSCG00070009541.1)
Source: RNAcentral